UGCUGCUGUUGACAAUCACAGCAGCCUGCUGGGGGCAAAGUAUGGGGAAAGAAAAAUAAUCAUGUAUUUCUCAAAAUUCAGAAAUAAUGAAACAACUGAGUGGGUGUAAUGUGCAUAUGUAUGUUAUCAAUGAAGGCCAAAUACUGGUAUAAUUUUCACACAUACUAAAAAAUACAUAAUAAUAUAAUUACAUUUAUUAACUCAAUCAACUAAUACAAUUUUAUAUCAUUUAAAUCUAUCAAAUUCCAGGUUUGGCAUAAUAGUUACUAAAGUGAUAUAGGUGAUGCUUCUUGAAACUAUGGCAUGUUUAAACACACAUGAUCUUCUAAAAAAGGAAGUUGAGCAUUAAAUAUGGUAAAUGAUGAAAUCAGAGUCAUUACCUGAAAUAAUGCUUCUGCAGGUAGGAGGAAUACAAAAUAUGAAUUAAAUAUGUAUGUAUAGAUGGAUUUUACCUCCUACAAAAAUCCUUCUCAUUCUGCAAAUACCGUCUAUGUUCAUAAGAGAUGCAGAGAUAUAUUACUUGGUCUUUGCUUUCAAGCAGCUCAUUCUGUGUGGGGGAGUUGAUGUGUACCACUGUGUAGCAGGAGAAGCAACAGGAGUACGGAGGCUUUGAAGCUGUUGAAGGCUUCCGAAGGAAGCAGCAGGUGAUCAUUUUAGGUAUUAAGAGUUUAACUAGACAACCAAAUGAAGAUGAAUGGGUGGUGGUGGUGGGAGGAAAGUUUAGAGGCACAUAAUGAUCCUGCUUGAGAAGCAGCCAAACAUGUCCGGGGAGAUGGGUGCAGCAAGGCAUUUUCAGGGGGUGGUGACAGGUAUGCAGUGAAAGGUAAAGGCCAGAAAAGGGCAGGGAGUGGGGAGGCUGACAGGGGAUAGCAUUGAGGAUUUUAGGUGCAGGAAGGAGAAAUUGAAGGUAAGAAUACAGGAUGAUGUGUCUAGAGCUGUCUGUUGGAAGACUGUUUCCCCGAGAAAAACAGAUUUCAAGGUGAGACAGUCCAGCCAUGUAAGAAAUCUGUAGUAUAUUUUAAAGUCUGAACAAAAUUUUCCAAUCUUAAAAUAUGAGGAAAUAAACCGAGGGAAAAAAACACCAGUAAAUUUUUUUAAAACAUGAUAUCAAUGUAAUGGUGCCUUUUAGUUAUAGACUGGUGAGGUUCUAGAGAUCAAUCAUUUCAUCUGGUAAAGAAAUGGAAAUCCAGGGAAGUGAAGGGAUUUGAUCC
Molecule: long non-coding RNA, 1211 nt
Filed under: Marmota monax (woodchuck)
Lineage: Eukaryota; Metazoa; Chordata; Mammalia; Rodentia; Sciuridae
Source: RNAcentral